UUUUAGUGGCGAACGGGUGAGUAACACGUGAGAAUCUGCCUUUAGGAAGAGGAUAACAUUUAGAAACAUUUGCUAAUACUCUAUAUGCUUUACAGUGAAAGAAUUUAUUCGCCUAAAGAGGAGCUCGCGUCUGAUUAGCUAGUUGGUGGGGUAAAGGCCUACCAAGGCGACGAUCAGUAGUUGGUCUGAGAGGACGGCCAGCCACAUUGGAACUGAGACACGGUCCAGACUCUUACGGGAGGCAGCAGUGAGGAAUUUUCUGCAAUGGGCGAAAGCCUGACAGAGCAAUACCGCGUGAGGGAUGACUGCCUACGGGUUGUAAACCUCUUUUCUCAAGGAGGAAGAUCUGACGUUACUUGAGGAAUAAGCAUCGGCUAACCCUGUGCCAGCAGCCGCGGUAAUACAGGGGAUGCAAGUGUUAUCCGGAAUUAUUGGGCGUAAAGCGUCUGCAGGUUGAUCUACAAGUCUUUUGUUAAAUUUUCAGGCUUAACCUGAAGUCAGCAAAAGAAACUGUUUAUCUUGAGUAUGGUA
RNAcentral lists this ribosomal RNA (531 nucleotides) under uncultured Leptolyngbya sp. RNAcentral describes it as "bacterial SSU rRNA". It matches the Rfam family "Bacterial small subunit ribosomal RNA", at positions 90 to 653 of the family's 1533-position model. The record is from RNAcentral. Lineage: Bacteria; Bacillati; Cyanobacteriota; Cyanophyceae; Leptolyngbyales; Leptolyngbyaceae.